GAUCUAUGAUAUAAAAAAUAUAUACUUUAGAUCUGAAAAUAAAACACACAUCCAUCUCAUCGAUGCUGAAAUCCUAGAUCUAACUAUUAGAUCUAAUAUUGCGAUCAAGGUAAGAUAGAAAUCAUUACCAAACAAAUUUGAUAUUGAUCUCCCCUAGCCUAACAGUUGGAGAAGGUGUUCCUCAGAUUGCUUGUAGCUACAUGAAGUUGUUUGGCCUCUAUAGAAAAAUCUACGUGAAGACUGGCA
Molecule: long non-coding RNA, 246 nt
Filed under: Elaeis guineensis (African oil palm)
Lineage: Eukaryota; Viridiplantae; Streptophyta; Magnoliopsida; Arecales; Arecaceae
Description: long non-coding RNA (EGUI_LNC050602)
Source: RNAcentral